Molecule: long non-coding RNA, 218 nt
Filed under: Mytilus galloprovincialis (Mediterranean mussel)
Lineage: Eukaryota; Metazoa; Mollusca; Bivalvia; Mytilida; Mytilidae
Source: RNAcentral
UCGUCCGGCAUCCGUCGUCCAGCAUCUGUCGUCUGUUGUCCGGCAUCUGUCGUCUGUCAUCUGGCAUCUGUCGUCUGUCGUCCGUAAAAUUUAACAAAAAUUGCCCCCAUUUUCCUCUAAGUUGUGAGUUCCAGAACGGGCCAUACAAGGCAUGUUAUUUUGAAGGUCCAUAUCGAGUGCACCUCAGUGUAACAGUUUUAUUUUAUUUUGAAUAAUUA